RNAcentral lists this long non-coding RNA (761 nucleotides) under Lonchura striata (white-rumped munia). RNAcentral describes it as "domestica (Bengalese finch) lncRNA (ENSLSDG00000014460.1)". Lineage: Eukaryota; Metazoa; Chordata; Aves; Passeriformes; Estrildidae. The record is from RNAcentral.
CAGCAGCCCUCUGUAGUUCAGAUUCUGUCUUGCCAAAAUUAUUUUAUUCAAGAGGCAAAUGGAAAAUAAAUCUCUGUCAGGAUCUAUUAUUCAGUUCAGACAUCAUCUAUGAUCCAUGAUGUGACAUUGCCUGUUUUCUGCCUGACUGCCUGGGCUUUCAGGGAUUCCUUGGAAUCUAUCUUGGGAGCUUUGCAAAGUAAGAAAAGUUAUAAAUAAACUCCUAAUGACAAGAUCAUGUAUUUCAACUACAUCUGGAAAGUUCAGAAAGCCACUUUGAAGAUACUGUCUCUAGGGCUCCUGUUCUUUCUCGGAAGAAGACCAGGAUCCCUGUCUUCUCUCUCUCUCGCUCUUCUCGGAAUUCCAGGCACAAAGCACUGCGCAAAAGCUGCACCAAUCCUUGCCGCAACUGCCUGCCCAGGACAAGAGGUGGGGAGAGACCAGAAAAUUCACCUCACCCCUGCGCCGGUUUUUAUAAAUGGGGAUUGCACAAAUGUGCCGGAGCAAAGGGGUGAAAAGGCAGGGUGCCAGUUUGCUACACUAGGCUGCAAUGAUCUCAUGUUCAAUGCUGUCGCCCCGUUUGCCCAGUUCAAACGCCUGUUCAUGAAACAGGAGGAAAGAGAAAAAAAAAACCAAAAAACAAAACAACCAAAAAAAAAAGAAAACCCAGAAAAAAUAAAAAUAUAACAACUUUUAUCCUUCAGGAGGGCUGCUCUAAACUACAUGUCACCAAUAAAAAAUAAAACGUGCAGUUCUAAAUAGCA